GUACCAAUGGCCGACGUUUCAUAUAGCAGCUUUCGCUGCCAUUAUAAGAGUCUGUUUUAAUUUUGAAAUAGAAAUUAACAAUAUUGUUCCAUAUUUUCUCGCAAUUUUCGACUAUUGUUGUCACACGAAUGUCUGUGCUUCAGCGUGGGGAUUCAUCCAACGAAUGUCCAUGUUUCUGCAAGUGAUAAAUGGGCCCUCAGUGUGUCGGGCGAUCACCGAUAAGGCUGGAUGCAAACUUCUCUCAUACCGACCGACGAAGAAAAACCUUUUUUUCUUCUCAGGAGAAUAAGCCUCGCUGCCUCAGCCCGUUCUCUGUUGCAACGGAUCCCUGACGACAGCCACCGUGUUCCUCACACCGGCCAGCCAGUCGAUUCUACAGAACUGUAGGCGCUUCUACAGGUUUCAAUUACAACUUUUAAUUAGCAAUCUGCCUUGCAAGAGGAAGGGAAGAGGGAAAACUUUCUACGUAGGAAGGGAAAAAAGAAGAAAAACUCCCUCUCUCUGGAGACAAAAUAAAAGAAGUGUAAACAUUUGAAGCAACAGUGAAUUAAGUCGUAACCUAAUGCAAGAUUUUUGUGAUAUUUGAAUUAUACACCACUAAAGUGAAUUUAAUAAAAUUUACCAGAGUCCAUCCGCUACCACACAGAUUACCAAUAAUUAUGUAUCAACACUUUUUUAUCAGAAGCGUUCCUACAGUUUUGACCCGCUGUAUAAUAUUUGGUAAAGUCCUUGCUUAAAAAAACUGACCUUCUGGUCUGUAUUUGGUGUUUAAGACCAAUGAGUGGCGGGUGUCCAACAAU
Long non-coding RNA from Cryptotermes secundus, 800 nucleotides. RefSeq lists it as uncharacterized. The transcript has 3 exons. The record is from RefSeq and is a predicted model, not a curated record. Lineage: Eukaryota; Metazoa; Arthropoda; Insecta; Blattodea; Kalotermitidae.